This 253-nucleotide ribosomal RNA is filed under the name uncultured bacterium. RNAcentral describes it as "partial 16S ribosomal RNA". It matches the Rfam family "Bacterial small subunit ribosomal RNA", at positions 524 to 776 of the family's 1533-position model. The record is from RNAcentral.
CACGUAGGGCGCGAGCGUUGUCCGGAAUUAUUGGGCGUAAAGAGCGUGUAGGCGGCCAUACAGGUCAGCUGUGAAAACUCGAGGCUCAACCUCGAGACGUCGGUUGAAACCGUAUGGCUAGAGUCCGGAAGAGGAGAGUGGAAUUCCCGGUGUAGCGGUGAAAUGCGCAGAUAUCGGGAAGAACACCCGUGGCGAAGGCGGCUCUCUGGGACGGUACUGACGCUGAGACGCGAAAGCGUGGGGAGCGAACAGG